This 468-nucleotide ribosomal RNA is filed under the name uncultured bacterium. RNAcentral describes it as "partial 16S ribosomal RNA". It matches the Rfam family "Bacterial small subunit ribosomal RNA", at positions 28 to 507 of the family's 1533-position model. The record is from RNAcentral.
GACGAACGCUGGCGGCGUGCUUAACACAUGCAAGUCGAACGGAAAGGCCCUGCUUUUGUGGGGUGCUCGAGUGGCGAACGGGUGAGUAACACGUGAGUAACCUGCCCUUGACUUUGGGAUAACUUCAGGAAACUGGGGCUAAUACCGGAUAGGAGCUGCUGCUGCAUGGUGGGGGUUGGAAAGUUUGGGCGGUUGGGGUUGGACGCGCGGCUUAUCAGCUUGUUGGUGGGGUAGUGGCUUACCAAGGCUUUGACGGGUAGCUGGACUGGGAGGGUGACCGGCCACAUUGGGACUGAGAUACGGCCCAGACUCCUACGGGAGGCAGCAGUGGGGAAUAUUGCACAAUGGGCGGAAGCCUGAUGCAGCAACGCCGCGUGCGGGAUGACGGCCUUCGGGUUGUAAACCGCUUUCGCCUGUGACGAAGCGUGAGUGACGGUAAUGGGUAAAGAAGCACCGGCUAACUACGUG